RNAcentral lists this non-coding RNA (30 nucleotides) under Mus musculus (house mouse). Lineage: Eukaryota; Metazoa; Chordata; Mammalia; Rodentia; Muridae. The record is from RNAcentral.
UGUUGUUCAUAUAUCUAACCUGGGAAGCAA